Molecule: ribosomal RNA, 304 nt
Filed under: uncultured bacterium
Lineage: Bacteria
Description: partial 16S ribosomal RNA
Rfam family: Bacterial small subunit ribosomal RNA
Source: RNAcentral
GAGCAGUAGCCGCGCAGUCGCCACGGGAAUACGUAGGGCGCAAGCGUUAUCCGGAAUUAUUGGGCGUAAAGAGCUCGUAGGCGGUUUGUCGCGUCUGCCGUGAAAGUCCGGGGCUCAACCCCGGAUCUGCGGUGGGUACGGGCAGACUAGAGUGAUGUAGGGGAGACUGGAAUUCCUGGUGUAGCGGUGAAAUGCGCAGAUAUCAGGGGAACACCGAUGGCGAAGGCAGGUCUCUGGGCAUUAACUGACGCUGAGGAGCGAAAGCAUGGGGAGCGAACAGGAUUAGAUACCCCCGUAGUCCCUG